CCAAUAGCGUAUAUUAAAGUUGUUGCAGUUAAAAAGCUCGUAGUUGAAUUUCGAGAUCAAAUUGUUGGUCGUGCCUUGGUACGCACUGGCAUUAUUGGUUUCUCCCUUCUGACGAACCAUGAUGUCAUUAAUUUGGUGUCUUGGGGAAUCAGGACUGUUACUUUGAAAAAAUUAGAGUGCUUAAAGCAGGCUCACGCUUGAAUACAUUAGCAUGGAAUAAUGAAAUAGGACGUUUGAUUCUAUUUUGUUGGUUUCUAGGAUCGACGUAAUGAUUAAUAGGGAUAGUUUGGGGCAUUAGUAUUCAAUUGUCAGAGGUGAAAUUCUUGGAUUUAUUGAAGACUAACUACUGCGAAAGCAUUUGCCAAGGAUGUUUUCAUUAAUCAAGAACGAAAGUUAGGGGAUCGAAGACGAUCAGAUACCGUCGUAGUCUUAACCAUAAACUAUGCCGACUAGGGAUCGGAUGAUGUUAAUUUUUUAAUGACUCAUUCGGCGCCUUACG
Molecule: unclassified non-coding RNA, 499 nt
Filed under: uncultured Glomus
Lineage: Eukaryota; Fungi; Glomeromycota; Glomeromycetes; Glomerales; Glomeraceae
Description: SSU rRNA
Rfam family: Eukaryotic small subunit ribosomal RNA
Source: RNAcentral